RNAcentral lists this small RNA (168 nucleotides) under Rattus norvegicus (Norway rat). RNAcentral's name for it is "partial Rat_Sgms1_232". Lineage: Eukaryota; Metazoa; Chordata; Mammalia; Rodentia; Muridae. The record is from RNAcentral.
GCCAUUCGAUCGUAUUUAGAAGAUAGCCACCCACUCGGAAGGGAAAGCUACAGUGGCCGAAGAAGCUGUGAUCUUUCAAGCAGGGCGCUGCCACUGGAGCACAGAGGAGGGUAUACAGAAGACAGCACGGGUUGAAGGCAGGGUGAGUGGUGCCGGAGGACAGACCUC